AUGGUGGCCGUCCUGGAUGCUUUCGCGGCCAAGCUGGCUAUCAUCCUAGCAGGUAUGGCAAAGACUGAGUUAGAGAUGCUCCUGGGCGUACCUGGCGAGAUCACCAAGCUCGAGGCUACGCUCGGUGAUCUCAGCCGCAUCAUGGCCGACGCUGAAAGGAGGCGCAUCCACAACCCUGACUCGGGUGCAGAGGAGUGGGUCGGGGAGCUCAAGGAUGUCAUGUACGACGCCGACAACAUACUUGACCUCUGCCAGAUCAUGGAGGGAGAGGAUGCAUCCAAAGCUCCUUCUGGAUGCUGGAACAUCCCAAUGUUGUUAUGCUUCCACAACCCCGUCGCUGCACACAAGAUUGGGAAGAAAAUCCAAGCGCUCAACCAACGGUUGCUGGACAUUGAGAAGAGGAGCACUCGCUAUGAAUUCAUCUCCCAAGCAAUCAACUCUUCGGCAAGCAACUCUAUUGAUAGAGUUGACAGUUCUUUUAUCAAAAGCAACCGCACAACUGGAUCGGGCAUCAUCCUAUCUGAUGUUGUUGGAGAGAAGAUCAAGGAAGAUACAAGAAAGCUUGUUGAUAUUCUAGUCAACAAGGAAGAGAUUCGUGCUGGAUCAAGCAGUGACAGGUUUCCUGUUGUUGCUAUCACUGGUGCUGGUGGGAUAGGCAAAACUACCCUUGCUAGGAUGGUUUUCAAUGACACUAUGGUGAAGGAUCACUUCCAUAAGAGGAUUUGGCUGAGUGUGAAUAACAAUAAAGAGGUCAACGAGAUGACAGUCCUAAGAACCGUCUUAUAUGCUGUUGGAGGUAACCAAAGUGACCUUCCUGACAACAAGGCCCAGCUGGAGAGUGCUUUGAAUCUAGCAGUGAAGCAAAAGAAAUUAUUGUUGGUGAUGGAUGAUGUGUGGAGCCCUAAGGUGUGGAAUGAGCUACUUAGAGUCCCGCUCAAUGAUGGUGCUUCGGGGAGCUGGGUAUUGGUGACCACAAGAAAUAUUGAAGUUGCUAAUAUGAUGAAAGCACAUCACCUCCACCGAGUUGACAAGCUAGUGGGAGAAGACGUUUGGAACCUGCUUAAGAAACAGGUCAGCAUCAAGAACCUUAACCUUUCAAGCAUAUUGCAAGUUAGGAGAGGCAAACAAAGUUUAGAGUAA
RNAcentral lists this ribosomal RNA (1140 nucleotides) under Triticum aestivum (bread wheat). RNAcentral describes it as "partial small subunit ribosomal RNA". Lineage: Eukaryota; Viridiplantae; Streptophyta; Magnoliopsida; Poales; Poaceae. The record is from RNAcentral.